GUUGAAAAGAAAGAAUUAGAUCGAACCUGGAAAAAAACGAGGUGGAUUUCACAGGAGGAAGAAGAUGGAUGCAGAGUUAGCCAUUUCUGCUUGACAAAUGUCUGGAUGUUUAUUUGGCUAACAAMAACAACAACCAWACUUCAGAUGACCACACAUCAUUUCCUGGUCCAUUCCAGUGUUGUUGGUAACGCAGAUUGAUCAGAAACUGUCCCAGACACACGGGAAUAUGGAGGAAUCAUCUUUCAACAAUAAUGUAUUUACCUGUGCAAAUAAAUAACGGAUUUAUUUUACCCAUAUGUCAAAUAAAGCAUAUAUUUAAUAAU
Austrofundulus limnaeus is the source of this 323-nucleotide long non-coding RNA. RefSeq lists it as uncharacterized. Lineage: Eukaryota; Metazoa; Chordata; Actinopteri; Cyprinodontiformes; Rivulidae. The record is from RefSeq and is a predicted model, not a curated record. The transcript has 3 exons.